CUUUUUGUCAGGAGAAGAGGCAUCAUGGGAAGAAGGCUAUCCUUUGGUAGGUGGGAGAAGCCAUCUUUUUAGCAUGCAUGUGAAGUAUACAACAAUGGCUCUGUACAGAAGUCUAGAUUCUGUUGACCAGCAUUCCUGCAAGACAGUACCAGAUAGUGCUGGAAAAGAUGGACAAAUGAGUCUUAAGAAAUGUUGUGAAGUUGCCUAUCCAGUACUGAGGUGAAAUAACAAUACAGAUAAUGUCACUCAACUCCUUCACCUUAAAAACAUAAGCCUCUCAGCCACCUACAAAUGGAAUAACCCAUCAUUCAUUAUUCUAUCACACUUCACCAGCUGUUUACAAACCAGGAAAAGUGUCCUCACAAGAAAUCAAAUCAGCUAGUAUCUUGUUCUUGGACUUUGCAUCUCCACAACUGGGAAAAAUUAUUUGGUUGUUCAAAACACUCAAACUAAGGAAUAGAGAGCGAGCAGAGUCAAGCAUGGGACAUAACAUCUGCAGUAGUGAACUCUACUGUAUGGAACCGGAGGUAGCGAACAUGCCUGAGAGGGUUUGAGAGAUCUACGCAGAAAGGGACCUGGCACGUAAAUAUCUUCUCUCCAGGAAGACAGGAAAGUGGAAGAAACAUAAGGGUCCCCCACUCAGGGGAAGAUUGUGUGUUAGACAACAGUUCGGAAUGCACUGAGUAAAGAAGACAAGAAGUACAAAAAAAAAAGGUAUACACGUAAUGGACUACUACUCAGCCGUAAAGAAAGGUAAAUUUGAGUCAUUUGUAUGAAUGACCCAUCUUGAGACUAUACUGCUACAUAAAAGAAACCGGACAUAGAAGGUUAAAUAUUACAUGGCUUCUCUUAUAUGUAAUA
Molecule: long non-coding RNA, 861 nt
Organism: Fukomys damarensis (Damara mole-rat)
Lineage: Eukaryota; Metazoa; Chordata; Mammalia; Rodentia; Bathyergidae
Exons: 5
Source: RefSeq, a predicted model, not a curated record